RNAcentral lists this ribosomal RNA (305 nucleotides) under uncultured bacterium. Its description in RNAcentral is "bacterial SSU rRNA". It matches the Rfam family "Bacterial small subunit ribosomal RNA", at positions 337 to 635 of the family's 1533-position model. The record is from RNAcentral.
GCCUACGGGGGGCAGCAGUAGGGAAUUUUCGUCAAUGAGCGCAAGCCUGAACGAGCAAUGCCGCGUGAACGAGGAAGGUCUUCGGAUCGUAAAGUUCUGUUGAAGGGGAAAAAGAGCGGAGAGAGGAAAUGGUCUCCGAUUGAUAUUACCCUUCGAGGAAGUCACGGCUAACUACGUGCCAGCAGCCGCGGUAAUACGUAGGUGGUGAGCGUUAUCCGGAAUGAUUGGGCGUAAAGGGUGCGUAGGCGGCCUGCUAAGUCUGGAGUGAAAGGUACCGGCUCAACCGGUACAGGCUCUGGAAACUG